This 1343-nucleotide ribosomal RNA is filed under the name uncultured bacterium. Its description in RNAcentral is "16S ribosomal RNA". It matches the Rfam family "Bacterial small subunit ribosomal RNA", at positions 28 to 1378 of the family's 1533-position model. The record is from RNAcentral.
GACGAACGCUGGCGGCGUGCUUAACACAUGCAAGUCGAACGGAAAGGCCCUGCUUUUGUGGGGUGCUCGAGUGGCGAACGGGUGAGUAACACGUGAGUAACCUGCCCUUGACUUUGGGAUAACUUCAGGAAACUGGGGCUAAUACCGGAUAGGAGCUCCUGCUGCAUGGUGGGGGUUGGAAAGUUUCGGCGGUUGGGGAUGGACUCGCGGCUUAUCAGCUUGUUGGUGGGGUAGUGGCUUACCAAGGCUUUGACGGGUAGCCGGCCUGAGAGGGUGACCGGCCACAUUGGGACUGAGAUACGGCCCAGACUCCUACGGGAGGCAGCAGUGGGGAAUAUUGCACAAUGGGCGGAAGCCUGAUGCAGCAACGCCGCGUGCGGGAUGACGGCCUUCGGGUUGUAAACCGCUUUCGCCUGUGACGAAGCGUGAGUGACGGUAAUGGGUAAAGAAGCACCGGCUAACUACGUGCCAGCAGCCGCGGUGAUACGUAGGGUGCGAGCGUUGUCCGGAUUUAUUGGGCGUAAAGGGCUCGUAGGUGGUUGAUCGCGUCGGAAGUGUAAUCUUGGGGCUUAACCCUGAGCGUGCUUUCGAUACGGGUUGACUUGAGGAGGGUAGGGGAGAAUGGAAUUCCUGGUGGAGCGGUGGAAUGCGCAGAUAUCAGGAGGAACACCAGUGGCGAAGGCGGUUCUCUGGGCCUUUCCUGACGCUGAGGAGCGAAAGCGUGGGGAGCGAACAGGCUUAGAUACCCUGGUAGUCCACGCUGUAAACGGUGGGUACUAGGUGUGGGGUCCAUUCCACGGGUUCCGUGCCGUAGCUAACGCUUUAAGUACCCCGCCUGGGGAGUACGGCCGCAAGGCUAAAACUCAAAGGAAUUGACGGGGCCCCGCACAAGCGGCGGAGCAUGCGGAUUAAUUCGAUGCAACGCGUAGAACCUUACCUGGGUUUGACAUGGAUCGGGAGCGCUCAGAGAUGGGUGUGCCUCUUUUGGGGUCGGUUCACAGGUGGUGCAUGGCUGUCGUCAGCUCGUGUCGUGAGAUGUUGGGUUAAGUCCCGCAACGAGCGCAACCCUUGUUCACUGUUGCCAGCACGUUAUGGUGGGGACUCAGUGGAGACCGCCGGGGUCAACUCGGAGGAAGGUGGGGAUGACGUCAAGUCAUCAUGCCCCUUAUGUCCAGGGCUUCACGCAUGCUACAAUGGCUGGUACAGAGAGUGGCGAGCCUGUGAGGGUGAGCGAAUCUCGGAAAGCCGGUCUCAGUUCGGAUUGGGGUCUGCAACUCGACCUCAUGAAGUCGGAGUCGCUAGUAAUCGCAGAUCAGCAACGCUGCGGUGAAUACGUUCCCGGG